GACCUCGGAUCAGGUAGGGAUACCCGCUGAACUUAAGCAUAUCAAUAAGCGGAGGAAAAGAAACCAACAGGGAUUGCCUCAGUAACGGCGAGUGAAGCGGCAACAGCUCAAAUUUGAAAUCUGGUCCUUCCGGGGCCCGAGUUGUAAUUUGUAGAGGAUGUUUCGGGCGCGGCGAACGGUCUAAGUCCCUUGGAACGGGGCGUCAUAGAGGGUGAGAAUCCCGUAUGUGAUCGGCGACCAAGCCCAUGUGAAACUCCUUCGACGAGUCGAGUUGUUUGGGAAUGCAGCUCAAAAUGGGUGGUAAAUUUCAUCUAAAGCUAAAUACCGGCCAGAGACCGAUAGCGCAC
RNAcentral lists this ribosomal RNA (347 nucleotides) under Variospora flavescens. RNAcentral describes it as "Klauderuiella flavescens partial large subunit ribosomal RNA". It matches the Rfam family "Eukaryotic large subunit ribosomal RNA", at positions 1 to 345 of the family's 3401-position model. Lineage: Eukaryota; Fungi; Ascomycota; Lecanoromycetes; Teloschistales; Teloschistaceae. The record is from RNAcentral.